Plectropomus leopardus (leopard coralgrouper) is the source of this 596-nucleotide non-coding RNA. The record is from RefSeq and is a predicted model, not a curated record. Lineage: Eukaryota; Metazoa; Chordata; Actinopteri; Perciformes; Serranidae.
CUUCAACUGCUCCAGGAAUUCACUGUGCUCAUCAUCCAGCCAGGCCUCCUCCAGCUAAGGGUGAAUAAGGAAGGAAAGCAUACGGAGAGAGAGAGAAGGGUUAUCUGGACCUGCAAACUCCACUCUCAUCACCCGUGUUUCCAGCAGCAGCAGGCAACUGUUUCCAGUAAAAUCGAAAGGACAACCGGAUGCAAACCUCCUCCUCCCCAUUCACCUCCAGUCUUCAGCUCAUCCACUUUUUAGUCCUGAUCCUCAUCCCAUCAUCCCUAUCCUUCAGCCAACACUCUCGUCACCUCGACCUCCAGCGUCUACACGCCAUUGAGGGAUCUCCCUACCUGCUCAGCUCCUACCACCUCAUUGUUGGGAUUCAUCUCACUUGCCACAAGUCUAUUUAAGACUGGCCAUUUUCAAGAUUGCUCUUCCUCUCUCCCUCCUGGAAGGCUGGUGCCUCUUAGGCACCCAAAAUGGCUUUGUUUGGUUUGUUUGUUGACCUGUUUGUUUCUUUAUGGUUUCAGUUAGCACCCACACAAAAGCCACCCACAAGCAACACCCACAGCUCAAACUGACUGUUGACCUACACAUUGGCUUGCUUUUGC